This 367-nucleotide long non-coding RNA is filed under the name Setaria viridis. RNAcentral's name for it is "long non-coding RNA (SVIR_LNC009923)". Lineage: Eukaryota; Viridiplantae; Streptophyta; Magnoliopsida; Poales; Poaceae. The record is from RNAcentral.
CACUACCUCUGUGUCAUAGUAUUGGUCUACUCCUCAUAUUUAGGAGGCACAAAAACUAAGUAAUCUUUUAACCAAAUAUUGAAUGUUGCAUGCAUAUAAACACACAAAUCGGAUUCAGUUUUACUUAUUAACAUUACUAGUAGAAAAUUGUGUGUGGACCUGAUGGACAUUGUGAAAUGGAGAGCACAUAUGUGGAUGCGUUUUGUUUCUAGUAGAAAAUUUGUAUGUGCCCACUAUUAUAGGUGACCUUAAUAAGACGAGCUAGCUAUUGGUUUGGCUGUAUCAUUAGCCUUCCACAUGGUAACGGUGUCAAGCUGCCCCUUUGAAAUACCUAUAAUGCCCACAUUGUAUUCAACGACUCAGCUUU